CAGAAAAUCUGCCAUCCCAAACCCAAAUCUCCUUCCCACUGGCCACCAGCCUGAGCAGGAGCUUCAUACAGGUGCUCCAUCCCAGCUCUGACUUCUGCUGGAUAUUUCCCUAUUCCUGGCAACAGGGAGAGCCUCACAUGGUGCAGAGAUAGAAAAAUAACUGCAGCUCUCCUUCCAGCCCAUUAAUUCUCUUCCAUGUGUGAGCACACACAACUGGCAGGAAUCACAGGGCAGACAUCUCCACACUGCAGAAACUCCAAAAAAUAAAAAAUUAGAUUUGUUUUGAAGCUGGGUUUAA
RNAcentral lists this long non-coding RNA (298 nucleotides) under Junco hyemalis (dark-eyed junco). RNAcentral describes it as "lncRNA (ENSJHYG00000012022.1)". Lineage: Eukaryota; Metazoa; Chordata; Aves; Passeriformes; Passerellidae. The record is from RNAcentral.